Molecule: long non-coding RNA, 1618 nt
Filed under: Salmo salar (Atlantic salmon)
Lineage: Eukaryota; Metazoa; Chordata; Actinopteri; Salmoniformes; Salmonidae
Description: lncRNA (ENSSSAG00000066836.2)
Source: RNAcentral
GUCCAAGAUGAGAAUUAUCCUGCUUCUGUUCCUUUAAUAGGUUGAUGAACAUGCAAUAAUAAUGAAUGAAUCAAUAUCGAAUACAAAUAUCUCAAUAUUUAGUCUUCCAGUCGACCAUAGCCUAUAACAAAUACUAUUCUAGUGUCAUUUGGAUUUCAGCUAGAUCCCAGCGGGCAGAUGGAAAAUCAGCCUGUCAGGACAAACUGGAAUCUUCUCUGUUCUGUAUCUGCUGUGGGCUGCAGAAGACACUCAGUCAGCUCUGUCUCUCUCUCUCGCUCCCUCCCAACGCCUCAUUUCCCUGGGAGCCGUGUUUUGCAUCUCUCCCUAAUUUGCAUUUCUUCUUUAGAUAUUCCGUGCGACGGUCUAGCCGCUCGAAAUCAUAGAAUAAGGCGUAGCACCGCAGCAAUAUCUACAUGCUCCCGGCAUUUCCAAAGCAAUACGCACCGCGGAACCCAUUGGAAAAUUUGAAUAAUGUUGCCGAAGCUUUCCGAAAGGUGAAAUUGAGGAAUAUAUUUGGAUCAAUCCGUUUGGUUGCGCACUAGAGGAGACACAUGCCUUCGAGGUAAACAGACAGCAGGACUGGACAGCCAGAUAGUAGCCUAGGUUAUAUUGUUUUUCUCCUGCGUUAUAAGCGGUUACAAGCUGUUAUAACGCCACAGUAGUGGUCCUAAGGUCGAGCAGAGCUUCAAAUUUUUGGUUUGUUCGCCUUGGUUGGUUAUUGAGACGCAGUUGGAAAUGUCGGAAGUACUACAAGACGAAAUGAGUCAUUAUGGAGAUGAGGACGAUGAGGGACACCUUUCCUUCACCUGUCGCCUCCAAGACACCAACAACUUCUUCAGCGGCUCGCAGGGGGGCAAACGCCCGCCCAAACUUGGACAGAUAGGCAGAAGCAAACGAGUCGUCGAGGAUGAGAGCGGCGUUGACGAGGCGCAGAAAAACGGGACAGAGAAAACACAGACGGAGGCUUAAACACACCACCCCCGCCCCCCGAAAGACAUUGAUUCUCAUUUUCUAUUCGAAAUUAACAGUUUUAAUCCAAAGACACUGUAUAUAAGCACUUUUAUCCCAUAUGGCAGCAAGCACUUCUAGACCCUCUCCCAGUCCUCAUGAUGGUGAUCUCCUGGGACUUAUACUGGCAGGAUGGGGAAACAGCCAAGACAGAGAUGGAGACAGAGAAAGACACGGUGAUGGAUACAGACGCCCAGGUGAAUGCUGUCAUGCCAGGGUUUACGCCCAUAGAGCUUGUCUAAAACAGGGAUGACCAACGUUCUACCCAGAGAGCUAUUGGGGCUUUUUCUUACCACUGAAUUACCAACUGAUGCAUGGCAGAAAUGGAAUCAUGCAUGCAUGGUAAUGUUCUGAAGAUGAUCUAGUGUAUUCCAGAACACCUCCUAUACCACUUUGAAUGACUAUCCUCCAGAACAGUCUUAAUAUGACGUACGUUGUACUGUGCUGUACUAUUAUCUCACUGAUUUGUACAGUAGUCUAAUAUCUUGUAAUAAAGAUUCUGAAGAAGUUAAUUAAGAGUGUGUAUUGUGAUGUAUGUUGGAUAAUUCUAUGUUGCUGCCCAAAUGGUGCUGCGUCAGAGGCGUCAUGCCCAUCGGGGGCACAAAGGCAC